Non-coding RNA from Pelobates cultripes (western spadefoot toad), 132 nucleotides. The record is from the annotation of a GenBank genome assembly. Lineage: Eukaryota; Metazoa; Chordata; Amphibia; Anura; Pelobatidae.
GCGCGUGUGUGUGUGUGUGUGUGUAUGUAUCUAUAUAUGUAUGUGUGUGUAUAUAUAUAGAUAGAUAUAUAUAUAUAUAUAUAUAUAUAUAUAGAUAUAUAUAUAGAUAUACACACACACACAUACACUGCU